Molecule: unclassified non-coding RNA, 138 nt
Filed under: soil metagenome
Description: partial internal transcribed spacer 1
Source: RNAcentral
CCUAGAGUUGUAGGCUUUGCCUGCUAUCUCUUACCCAUGUCUUUUGAGUACCUUCGUUUCCUCGGCGGGUCCGCCCGCCGAUUGGACAAUUUAAACCAUUUGCAGUAGCAAUCAGCGUCUGAAAAAACUUAAUAGUUA